Molecule: long non-coding RNA, 270 nt
Filed under: Lathyrus oleraceus (garden pea)
Lineage: Eukaryota; Viridiplantae; Streptophyta; Magnoliopsida; Fabales; Fabaceae
Description: Pisum sativum (pea) long non-coding RNA (PSAT_LNC033500)
Source: RNAcentral
UUCGACGAAGGGGUGAAGGACGGAAACCUCAACAGGCAAUGGAUGGAGAGGAACAUCAGAUAGUCGCACCUGAGCCUCAUCCACAACAACCACAGUGCCCCGAAGGACUGUACAAUACGUCUCUUCAAUGAGGUAGUAGGAGCAUGUUGUUCGCCAUUUAUGGUUUGGCGAAGUAAGUUAAUCUCUACCAUUAUAUGUUGAAUCAUUUUUAAUUUUAAUUACUUAUAUUUUAUAACAUAUACUAUAAGUUAUUUUUAGGAGAGAAAUACC